GACGAACGCUGGCGGCGUGCUUAACACAUGCAAGUCGAGCGGUAAGGCCCUUUCGGGGGUACACGAGCGGCGAACGGGUGAGUAACACGUGGGUGACCUGCCCUCAGCUCUGGGAUAAGCCUGGGAAACCGGGUCUAAUACUGGAUAUGACUCCAUGACGCAUGUUGGUGGGGUGGAAAGCCUUGUGCGGCUGAGGAUGGGCCCGCGGCCUAUCAGCUUGUUGGUGGGGUGAGGCCUACCAAGGCGACGACGGGUAGCCGGCCUGAGAGGGCGACCGGCCACACUGGGACUGAGACACGGCCCAGACUCCUACGGGAGGCAGCAGUGGGGAAUCUUGCGCAAUGGGCGAAAGCCUGACGCAGCGACGCCGCGUGAGGGAUGACGGCCUCGGUUGUAACGU
This 400-nucleotide ribosomal RNA is filed under the name uncultured bacterium. RNAcentral's name for it is "bacterial SSU rRNA". It matches the Rfam family "Bacterial small subunit ribosomal RNA", at positions 28 to 431 of the family's 1533-position model. The record is from RNAcentral.